Molecule: ribosomal RNA, 429 nt
Filed under: Bacteroidota bacterium
Lineage: Bacteria; Pseudomonadati; Bacteroidota
Description: Bacteroidetes bacterium partial 16S ribosomal RNA
Rfam family: Bacterial small subunit ribosomal RNA
Source: RNAcentral
UAGGGAAUCUUCCGCAAUGGACGCAAGUCUGACGGAGCAACGCCGCGUGAGUGAAGAAGGAUUUCGGUUCGUAAAACUCUGUUGUUAGAGAAGAACAGCGCAUAGAGUAACUGUUAUGCGUGUGACGGUAUCUAACCAGAAAGCCACGGCUAACUACGUGCCAGCAGCCGCGGUAAUACGUAGGUGGCAAGCGUUGUCCGGAUUUAUUGGGCGUAAAGCGAGCGCAGGCGGUCAAUUAAGUCUGAUGUGAAAGCCCCCGGCUCAACCGGGGAGGGUCAUUGGAAACUGGUUGACUUGAGUGCAGAAGAGGAGAGUGGAAUUCCAUGUGUAGCGGUGAAAUGCGUAGAUAUAUGGAGGAACACCAGUGGCGAAGGCGACUUUCUGGCCAUAAUCUGACGCUGAGGUACGAAAGCGUGGGUAGCAAACAGG